This 313-nucleotide ribosomal RNA is filed under the name uncultured Chytridiomycetes. RNAcentral's name for it is "partial large subunit ribosomal RNA". It matches the Rfam family "Eukaryotic large subunit ribosomal RNA", at positions 40 to 350 of the family's 3401-position model. Lineage: Eukaryota; Fungi; Chytridiomycota; Chytridiomycetes. The record is from RNAcentral.
AUAUCAAUAAGCGGAGGAAAAGAAACUAACAAGGAUUCCCUUAGUAACGGCGAGUGAAGCGGGAAUAGCUCAAAUUUGAAAUCUCACAGGUUCCCUGUGCGAAUUGUAGUUUAGAGAAGUGUUUUCGGGGGUGAGCUAGGCAUAAGUCCUCUGGAACGAGGCAUCAUAGAGGGUGACAAUCCCGUUCUUGGUCUAGUAUAGCUCCUAUGUGAUGCACUUUCAAAGAGUCGGGUUGUUUGGGAAUGCAGCCCAAAAUGGGUGGUAAAUACCAUCUAAAGCUAAAUAACGGCGAGAGACCGAUAGCGCACAAGUA